CUCUGUGACCUCCUACGGGAGGCAGCAGUGGGGAAUAUUGCACAAUGGGGGAAACCCUGAUGCAGCCAUGCCGCGUGUGUGAAGAAGGCCUUCGGGUUGUAAAGCACUUUCAGUAGGGAGGAAGGUAGUGUAGUUAACACCUGCACUAUUUGACGUUACCUACAGAAGAAGCACCGGCUAACUCCGUGCCAGCAGCCGCGGUAAUACGGAGGGUGCGAGCGUUAAUCGGAAUUACUGGGCGUAAAGCGCAUGCAGGCGGCCUGUUAAGUCAGAUGUGAAAGCCCGGGCUUAACCUCGGAAUUGCAUUUGAAACUGGCAGGCUAGAGUCUUGUAGAGGGGGUAGAAUUUCAGGUGUAGCGGUGAAAUGCGUAGAGAUCUGAAGGAAUACCAGUGGCGAAGGCGGCCCCCUGGACAAAGACUGACGCUCAGAUGCGAAGGCGUGGGGAGCAAACAGGAUUAGAUACCCUUGGAG
Molecule: ribosomal RNA, 472 nt
Filed under: uncultured bacterium
Lineage: Bacteria
Description: bacterial SSU rRNA
Rfam family: Bacterial small subunit ribosomal RNA
Source: RNAcentral